GAUGAACGCUGGCGGCGUGCUUAACACAUGCAAGUCGAACGAAGCACUUAAGAUUGAUUCUUCGGAUGACGUCUUUUGUGACUUAGUGGCGGACGGGUGAGUAACGCGUGGGUAACCUGCCUCACACAGGGGGAUAACAGUUAGAAAUGACUGCUAAUACCGCAUAACCCGAUAGGAUCGCAUGAUCCAGACGGAAAAGAUUUAUCGGUGUGAGAUGGACCCGCGUCUGAUUAGCUAGUUGGUGAGGUAACGGCCCACGAAGGCGACGAUCAGUAGCCGGCCUGAGAGGGUGAACGGCCACAUUGGGACUGAGACACGGCCCAAACUCCUACGGGAGGCAGCAGUGGGGAAUAUUGCACAAUGGGGGAAACCCUGAUGCAGCGACGCCGCGUGAGUGAAGAAGGAUUUCGGUAUGUAAAGCUCUAUCAGCAGGGAAGAAAAUGACGGUACCUGAAUAAGAAGCCCCGGCUAACUACGUG
RNAcentral lists this ribosomal RNA (479 nucleotides) under uncultured bacterium. RNAcentral's name for it is "partial 16S ribosomal RNA". It matches the Rfam family "Bacterial small subunit ribosomal RNA", at positions 28 to 507 of the family's 1533-position model. The record is from RNAcentral.